RNAcentral lists this ribosomal RNA (392 nucleotides) under uncultured bacterium. RNAcentral describes it as "bacterial SSU rRNA". It matches the Rfam family "Bacterial small subunit ribosomal RNA", at positions 29 to 418 of the family's 1533-position model. The record is from RNAcentral.
AGUGAACGCUGGCGGCAGGCCUAACACAUGCAAGUCGAGCGGCAGCGGGCUGUAGCAAUACAGUGCCGGCGAGCGGCGGACGGGUGAGGAAUACAUCGGAAUCUACCUUGUCGUGGGGGAUAACGUAGGGAAACUUACGCUAAUACCGCAUACGAACUACGGUUGAAAGCGGAGGACCGCAAGGCUUCGCGCGAUUGGAUGAGCCGAUGUCGGAUUAGCUAGUUGGCGGGGUAAUGGCCCACCAAGGCGACGAUCCGUAGCUGGUCUGAGAGGAUGAUCAGCCACACUGGAACUGAGACACGGUCCAGACUCCUACGGGAGGCAGCAGUGGGGAAUAUUGGACAAUGGGCGCAAGCCUGAUCCAGCCAUGCCGCGUGUGUGAAGAAGGCCUC